GCAAGUCGAACGCGAAAUUUUUUCUUCGGAGAAAAGAGUAGAGUGGCGCCCGGGUGAGUAACGCGUAAGUAAUCUACCCUGGUAUCUGGGAUAACCCACCGAAAGGUGUGCUAAUACCGGAUACGCUGAUUUAUCAGGAAAGGUGGCCUCUUCAUGAAAGCUACUGUACUAGGAGGAGCUUGCGUACCAUUAGCUAGUUGGUAGGGUAAUGGCCUACCAAGGAAAAGAUGGUGAGCGGGUCGGAGAGGAUGAUC
Molecule: ribosomal RNA, 254 nt
Filed under: uncultured bacterium
Lineage: Bacteria
Description: partial 16S ribosomal RNA
Rfam family: Bacterial small subunit ribosomal RNA
Source: RNAcentral